RNAcentral lists this long non-coding RNA (346 nucleotides) under Lathyrus oleraceus (garden pea). RNAcentral describes it as "Pisum sativum (pea) long non-coding RNA (PSAT_LNC025543)". Lineage: Eukaryota; Viridiplantae; Streptophyta; Magnoliopsida; Fabales; Fabaceae. The record is from RNAcentral.
AAAAGUUUCUCUUACAGUGUCCAGUCUUACCUAAAUAUAAGCAAGUACCCUCCUUUGUUAUACCUCUUCUAGGUUUCAAAGCAUGAGCAAUAAGUUUGGGUCGGGAAACUAUCUUGUCUUUCCCUUUACUACCCUGCUUGGUAGGCCUUUUUUUCUGCUUCUUUCCAUUGUUGACCAUCAGAAUAACCUUCCCUUUUGAUUUCAGAUUUUGCUCAGCAGUUCUCAACAUGUCUAGUAGAUCUGGAAGACUUUUGUCCAUAUCAUUCAUAUUGAGUUUAAGGAUAAACUGAAUGAAGAUCUUCGACAACGAUUGCAGAUUCAAAUCAGUCGCAAGCUCAUUUCCAAG